RNAcentral lists this ribosomal RNA (476 nucleotides) under uncultured bacterium. RNAcentral's name for it is "bacterial SSU rRNA". It matches the Rfam family "Bacterial small subunit ribosomal RNA", at positions 30 to 504 of the family's 1533-position model. The record is from RNAcentral.
UGAACGCUGGCGGCAGGCCUAACACAUGCAAGUCGAGCGAGAAAGGCCUUCGGGCUGAGUACAGCGGCGGACGGGUGAGUAACGCGUAGGAAUCUACCUGGUAGUGGGGGACAACAUGGGGAAACUCAUGCUAAUACCGCAUACGCCCUAUGGGGGAAAGCGGGGGACCUUCGGGCCUCGCGCUAUCAGAUGAGCCUGCGUAGGAUUAGCUUGUUGGUGAGGUAAAGGCUCACCAAGGCGACGAUCCUUAGCUGGUCUGAGAGGAUGAUCAGCCACACUGGGACUGAGACACGGCCCAGACUCCUACGGGAGGCAGCAGUGGGGAAUAUUGCGCAAUGGGCGAAAGCCUGACGCAGCCAUGCCGCGUGUGUGAAGAAGGCCUUAGGGUUGUAAAGCACUUUCAAUUGGGAAGAAAGGUUGCGUGUUAAUAGCACGUAGCUGUGACGUUACCUUUAGAAGAAGCACCGGCUAACUCC